GAUCAUGGCUCAGAGCGAACGCUGGCGGCAGGCCUAACACAUGCAAGUCGAACGGACCCUUCGGGGUUAGUGGCGGACGGGUGAGUAACACGUGGGAACGUGCCUUUAGGCUCGGAAUAGCUCCUGGAAACGGGUGGUAAUGCCGAAUGUGCCCUUCGGGGAAGGAUUUAUCGCCUUUAGAGCGGCCCGCGUCUGAUUAGCUAGUUGGUGAGGUAACGGCUCACCAAGGCGACGAUCAGUAGCUGGU
Molecule: ribosomal RNA, 247 nt
Filed under: uncultured bacterium
Lineage: Bacteria
Description: partial 16S ribosomal RNA
Rfam family: Bacterial small subunit ribosomal RNA
Source: RNAcentral